ACACCUCAACUCCUCAUGGUCUUCUAUGAUGCGCUUGGACUUUGGGGGUUUGCUGGCCCAUUUGGUCAGCUCCUCUCAAAUGAAUCAGCCUACCAGUGUUUGGUGGCACCACCAGGUGUGAUAACAAUCUACGCUUGGAGUUUUCCACCAGGCAACCUUCAGUGAUGGGGGUUCACUGGGGCUCACAAAUGUCUUUCUUCAGUGAGGACAGCUCUUUGAAU
RNAcentral lists this unclassified non-coding RNA (221 nucleotides) under uncultured Tomentella. RNAcentral's name for it is "sequence contains ITS2". The record is from RNAcentral. Lineage: Eukaryota; Fungi; Basidiomycota; Agaricomycetes; Thelephorales; Thelephoraceae.